GAGAACCACUAUGUUAAUCUAAUCAUUAGUCAUUAGUCAAAUCUUCUGUUUUUACAGGGGUUCCAGUGCUUGUGACAUGGCAGCAACAGUUCUCAGGUUGCGCGACUAUGAAGGCGAGGCCCGGCAUUCAGCGGUCGGACUCACAAAAGCCUGCAGGCAAGCGGAUAAAGGCUAUGUCUAAUGAGAGAGGAUUCUUCCACUACACUAGCUACCAACCACAGAGGAAAGAAAAAGCUAUUAUGGAUCUUUAAAAGAGUGGAAACUCUGGAUAGGUGUGCAGACACAGGGCUCAAAAGGAGUGAGGCACCUCCCUCUGUGACAGACCUUUGGUUCCUUCUCUGGGAACAAUAGAAGAACAAGCUUAAUCCUUGCCAGCUCAUAAUGAGCUAUAAGCUUUCCUUUCACAGCAAAAAUGUCCUUCCUUGCUUUGGUGCUAAUCAGGGACAAAUGCCCUGGUCCUUUUCAGAUCUCGCAAACUUCAUUCCUUUGCUGCCGCUCUCUUCUCUUGUCCUGCGUUUUUCAAGUGUCCUAGGUUGAAGAUGAGAUGGUGUUGAGAUCCGUGAGAACGUUUUGGGUCAACGUAUAGAAGCUUUGCGUUCAAGAGUCUGCGUUCGCAACUCAUCUUUCCAGUUGCAGAAAAACCAAGAGUUUGCUUCUUCCUGCAGUUGGGACAAUGAAGCAGGAACAUGAGGUUGGAGUUAUUCAUCAAUGUGAAAACAGCCAGGCUUUUUUGGUUGUAGUGCUUGGAGGAUUCAGCAGUUAAAUGCCUCUGCAGGCUGCAGCCGAGCAGAAAAACAGCCUAGGAAAAACAACAAAGAGCUCAAACCCCAUUCACACCGUGAAAGGACGAGCAUCAAGACCGCCGAUGAGGCAUGUAGCACACACAGGCUUUCUUCUUUCCCUGCACCGCACAAGAAGCGAGAGAGGUGUACGAGGAACCUAUUAAAGCAAAAUGACACGUAAUCGGCUUAU
RNAcentral lists this long non-coding RNA (972 nucleotides) under Danio rerio (zebrafish). RNAcentral's name for it is "si:ch211-13a5.2 (ENSDARG00000099883.2)". The record is from RNAcentral. Lineage: Eukaryota; Metazoa; Chordata; Actinopteri; Cypriniformes; Danionidae.